Molecule: long non-coding RNA, 186 nt
Organism: Oncorhynchus masou masou (cherry salmon)
Lineage: Eukaryota; Metazoa; Chordata; Actinopteri; Salmoniformes; Salmonidae
Exons: 3
Source: RefSeq, a predicted model, not a curated record
CAGGUCCAACUGAUACCAGCGGAGACGCAACGAUGGUGAAACUGGCCCAGAUCAACGGACAAGAGGUGCUGACCUCUAAGAGCAGGAAGGGAGGUUUUCAGGACAGUCCUCUGACUGUCAGAAGUCGAGAACAUGAUCUGCUUGUUUUGAAAACCCAGAAAAGGAGAGCAGAGUUCUUUAAUCAGG